UCCCUCUCAGGAUUGCUUCUGGAGAGUUUUCAGUGCUCUACCAGUCUCAACUACUGGAGGGAGAGCAAGCAGAUGUAUACCCAUUCCAUUCCUAGCUUGGGCAGUUGCUAGCGAGUGGAAGGCAAUCGGCUACAAGU
This is a small nucleolar RNA of Tachyglossus aculeatus (Australian echidna), 137 nucleotides long. The record is from RefSeq and is a predicted model, not a curated record. Lineage: Eukaryota; Metazoa; Chordata; Mammalia; Monotremata; Tachyglossidae.